This 253-nucleotide non-coding RNA is filed under the name uncultured bacterium. Its description in RNAcentral is "partial 16S ribosomal RNA". It matches the Rfam family "Bacterial small subunit ribosomal RNA", at positions 524 to 776 of the family's 1533-position model. RNAcentral also lists the same sequence under 1 other name. The record is from RNAcentral.
UACGUAGGGCGCAAGCGUUGUCCGGAAUUAUUGGGCGUAAAGAGCUCGUAGGUGGUUCGUCGCGUCUGCUGUGAAAGUCCGAGGCUUAACCUCGGAUCUGCAGUGGGUACGGGCGAACUAGAGUGCGGUAGAGGAGAUCGGAAUUCCUGGUGUAGCGGUGGAAUGCGCAGAUAUCAGGAGGAACACCGGUGGCGAAGGCGGAUCUCUGGGCCGUAACUGACGCUGAGGAGCGAAAGCAUGGGGAGCGAACAGG